This 784-nucleotide ribosomal RNA is filed under the name uncultured bacterium. RNAcentral's name for it is "bacterial SSU rRNA". It matches the Rfam family "Bacterial small subunit ribosomal RNA", at positions 8 to 796 of the family's 1533-position model. The record is from RNAcentral.
AGAGUUUGAUCAUGGCUCAGAACGAACGCUGGCGGCGUGCUUAACACAUGCAAGUCGAGUGCGCGGUUGUAGCAAUACAACUGGCGCACGGCGCACGGGUGCGUAACACGUGGGCAAUCUGCCCUCCGAUGGGGAAUAACUCCGGGAAACCGAAGCUAAUUCCGCAUAAUAUUCCCUGGACUCCGGUUCGGGGAUUCAAAGCAGCAAUGCGUCGGAGGAGGAGCCCGCGCCCGAUUAGCUAGUUGGUGAGGUAACGGCUCACCAAGGCUAUGAUCGGUAGCUGGUCUGAGAGGAUGGCCAGCCACACUGGAACUGAGACACGGUCCAGACUCCUACGGGAGGCAGCAGUGGGGAAUCUUGCGCAAUGGGCGAAAGCCUGACGCAGCGACGCCGCGUGGGGGAUGAAGCUUCUCGGAGUGUAAACCCCUUUCGACCGGGACGAAUGCCCGCAAGGGAGUGACGGUACCGGUAGAAGAAGCCCCGGCUAACUACGUGCCAGCAGCCGCGGUAAGACGUAGGGGGCCAGCGUUGUUCGGAAUUACUGGGUGUAAAGGGUUCGUAGGCGGUGUGGCAAGUCGGGAGUGAAAUUUCUGGGCUUAACUCAGAACCUGCUUCCGAAACUGCUGUGCUGGAGUGUGGGAGAGGCGCGUGGAAUUGCAGGUGUAGCGGUGAAAUGCGUAGAUAUCUGCAGGAACACCCGUGGCGAAAGCGGCGCGCUGGACCACUACUGACGCUGAGGAACGAAAGCUAGGGGAGCAAACAGGAUUAGAUACCCUAGUAGUCC